Molecule: ribosomal RNA, 253 nt
Filed under: uncultured bacterium
Lineage: Bacteria
Description: partial 16S ribosomal RNA
Rfam family: Bacterial small subunit ribosomal RNA
Source: RNAcentral
UACGUAGGGUGCGAGCGUUAAUCGGAAUUACUGGGCGUAAAGUGUGCGCAGGCGGCCGCGCAAGUCGAGUGUGAAAUCCCCGAGCUUAACUUGGGAAUUGCGCUCGAAACUACGUGGCUGGAGUGUGGCAGAGGAAGGUGGAAUUCCACGUGUAGCGGUGAAAUGCGUAGAGAUGUGGAGGAACACCGAUGGUGAAGGCAGCCUUCUGGGCCAACACUGACGCUCAUGCACGAAAGCGUGGGGAGCAAACAGG